UUCUGGCUCAGGAUGAACGCUGGCGGCGUGCCUAACACAUGCAAGUCGAGCGAUUACUUCGGUAAAGAGCGGCGGACGGGUGAGUAACGCGUGGGUAACCUGCCUCAUACACAUGGAUAACAUACCGAAAGGUAUGCUAAUACAGGAUAAUAUAAGAGAUUCACAUGGAUUUCUUAUCAAAGCUCCGGCGGUAUGAGAUGGACCCGCGUCUGAUUAGCUAGUUGGUAAGGUAAUGGCUUACCAAGGCGACGAUCAGUAGCCGACCUGAGAGGGUGAUCGGCCACAUUGGAACUGAGACACGGUCCAAACUCCUACGGGAGGCAGCAGUGGGGAAUAUUGCACAAUGGGCGAAAGCCUGAUGCAAGCAACGCCGCGUGAGUGAUGAAGGCCUUCGGGUCGUAAAACUCUGUCCUCAAGGAAGAUAAUGACGGUACUUGAGGAGGAAGCCCCGGCUAACUACGUGCCAGCAGCAGC
Molecule: ribosomal RNA, 474 nt
Filed under: uncultured bacterium
Lineage: Bacteria
Description: bacterial SSU rRNA
Rfam family: Bacterial small subunit ribosomal RNA
Source: RNAcentral